GGGCCCGCACAAGCGGUGGAGCAUGUGGUUUAAUUCGAUGAUACGCGAGGAACCUUACCAGGGCUUAAAUGCAGAACGACAGAGGUGGAAACACCCCCUUCUUCGGACGGACUGCAAGGUGCUGCAUGGUUGUCGUCAGCUCGUGCUGUGAAGUGUCGGGUUAAGUCCCAUAACGAGCGCAACCCCCAUUUCUAGUUGCCCAGCGGUUCGGCCGGGGACUCUAGAGAAACUGCCAGCGUAAGCUGUGAGGAAGGUGGGGAUGACGUCAAAUCAUCACGGCCCUUACAUCCUGGGCCACACACGUGCUACAAUGGUGGGGACAACAGGUUGCCAACCCGCGAGGGUGAGCCAAUCCCAAAACCCAUCUCAGUUCGGAUCGGAGUCUGCAACUCGACUCCGUGAAGUUGGAAUC
Molecule: ribosomal RNA, 412 nt
Filed under: uncultured bacterium
Lineage: Bacteria
Description: bacterial SSU rRNA
Rfam family: Bacterial small subunit ribosomal RNA
Source: RNAcentral